GGGCCGGUAGUCUAGCGGUAUGACACACGGCAUAAGGCUGCCCUUACGAGGCAGAGGUCGAGGGUUCGACUCCCUCCCGGCCCA
This 84-nucleotide transfer RNA is filed under the name marine sediment metagenome. It matches the Rfam family "tRNA". From Rfam's summary of the family: Transfer RNA (tRNA) molecules are approximately 80 nucleotides in length. Their secondary structure includes four short double-helical elements and three loops (D, anti-codon, and T loops). The record is from RNAcentral.